UAUCCACAUGAUUUCUAGAGUGUUGCUGGGCAUACAUUCUGUUAGAUUUGUAUCCUAGAAGUCAGUUGUUGGUUGACACAUUAUGUAAUUCCAUGAUUUAAUCUUGUACUUAUAAUAUUUUUAUUAUCAAUAAAAAAUUUUUCAUUUCAAUCAUAUUUAUGUGUCCAUGAUUUGUCUUAAAAAUUAACAAAGAUGAUUUUUGUAUAUUCUCAAAGUGUUAAAAAUUUGAGACAUAUAUUAAUUAGUGGUUAAUUUCUAAAUAUUUUUUAUCAAAGAAUAUUCAUGGAGGAUAGUGAUCAAUCCAUUC
Molecule: long non-coding RNA, 307 nt
Filed under: Elaeis guineensis (African oil palm)
Lineage: Eukaryota; Viridiplantae; Streptophyta; Magnoliopsida; Arecales; Arecaceae
Description: long non-coding RNA (EGUI_LNC039053)
Source: RNAcentral